RNAcentral lists this small nuclear RNA (296 nucleotides) under Erinaceus europaeus (western European hedgehog). Its description in RNAcentral is "7SK RNA". It matches the Rfam family "7SK RNA". Rfam says of the family: 7SK was discovered as an abundant small nuclear RNA in the mid-70s but a possible function has only recently been suggested. Two independent studies have found that 7SK RNA binds the CDK9/cyclin T complex (known as elongation factor P-TEFb). P-TEFb activates transcription by phosphorylating the C-terminal domain of RNA polymerase II. Lineage: Eukaryota; Metazoa; Chordata; Mammalia; Eulipotyphla; Erinaceidae. The record is from Rfam by way of RNAcentral.
GGAUGUGAGGGCAAUCUGGCUGCGACAUCUGUCACCCCAUUGAUCGCCAGGGUUAAUUCGGCUGAUCUGGCUGGCUAGGCGGGUGUCCCCUUCCUCCCUCAAUGCUCCAUGUGUGUCCCUCUUAAAGCUGCGCGCUUGGUGGAAGAGGACAGCCUUCCCCGAAUAGAGACCGACCGAUCUUUAUCGAGAGUAUAAGAGUAGCUGUGCUCCCCUGCUAGAACCUCCAAACAAGCCCUCAAGAAUUCAUGGUUGAGAGGCAUGAAUACUUUACAAAUAAAUAACUUGUGAAGUACAGU